GACGAACGCUGGCGGCGUGCUUAACACAUGCAAGUCGAACGGAAAGGCCCUGCUUUUGUGGGGUGCUCGAGUGGCGAACGGGUGAGUAACACGUGAGUAACCUGCCCUUGACUUUGGGAUAACUUCAGGAAACUGGGGCUAAUACCGGAUAGGAGCUCCUGCUGCAUGGUGGGGGUUGGAAAGUUUCGGCGGUUGGGGAUGGACGCGCGGCUUAUCAGCUUGUUGGUGGGGUAGUGGCUUACCAAGGCUUUGACGGGUAGCCGGCCUGAGAGGGUGACCGGCCACAUUGGGACUGAGAUACGGCCCAGCCUCCUACGGGAGGCAGCAGUGGGGAAUAUUGCACACUGGGCGGAAGCCUGAUGCAGCAACGCCGCGUGCGGGAUGACGGCCUUCGGGUUGUAAACCGCUUUCGCCUGUGACGAAGCGUGAGUGACGGUAAUGGGUAAAGAAGCACCGGCUAACUACGUG
RNAcentral lists this ribosomal RNA (468 nucleotides) under uncultured bacterium. RNAcentral's name for it is "partial 16S ribosomal RNA". It matches the Rfam family "Bacterial small subunit ribosomal RNA", at positions 28 to 507 of the family's 1533-position model. The record is from RNAcentral.